AUGUACCCUACAUCCACUCCCUCCUGCACUCCAUUCGGCGGGCGCAACGUCCCCUAUAGCCACUCCCCUUUCAUGGACGGCCUGGUCGAUGCCUGCAAGGUUCCCUGCGUCUACAAGAGUUUCGGCUGCGAGAGUGUGUUCCGGGACUGCCCUUAUCCAGAUGAGAAACUUCGGAAGGACCUUAGCGAGAGGCUUGGCAUGAGUGCCCAGCAGGUCAAGUUUUGGUUCCAAAACAAACGCACCUUCAGUAAGGGCAAGAUGCAACGGUGGGAGACCCAAAAUCAUUGGGUAGAAAAUGAGAGGCUAAAAACUGAACAUCAAGCCAUCAUGUUGGCUAUGCAAAACAAGACUUGCCUCAAAUGCAGAGGGGUGAUGGUACAAACUCAGGAUACCUCGGAGCGCCAAUGCCUAUACACCGAGAAUAUGAGGCUCAAGGAAGAACUCCUACAUGCCACUACCUAUCUUAAAGAAGGUCUUCGCCGAAAUGGCAUGUCGCUCCCACGGGCCCGCAACUGA
RNAcentral lists this ribosomal RNA (516 nucleotides) under Triticum aestivum (bread wheat). RNAcentral describes it as "partial small subunit ribosomal RNA". Lineage: Eukaryota; Viridiplantae; Streptophyta; Magnoliopsida; Poales; Poaceae. The record is from RNAcentral.